RNAcentral lists this ribosomal RNA (478 nucleotides) under uncultured bacterium. Its description in RNAcentral is "partial 16S ribosomal RNA". It matches the Rfam family "Bacterial small subunit ribosomal RNA", at positions 28 to 507 of the family's 1533-position model. The record is from RNAcentral.
GAUGAACGCUGGCGGCGUGCUUAACACAUGCAAGUCGAACGGGAAUUAUUUUAUUGACACUUCGGUCGAUUUAAUUUAAUUCUAGUGGCGGACGGGUGAGUCACGCGUGGGUAACCUGCCUUAUACAGGGGGAUAACAGUCAGAAAUGGCUGCUAAUACCGCAUAAUCGCACAGAGCUGCAUGGCCCAGUGUGAACUACUCCGGUGGUAUAGGAUGGACCCGCGUUGGGUUAGCUUGUUGGGAGGGUAACGGCCUACCAAGGCGACGAUCCAGAGCCUGCUUGAGAGGGGGAACGGCGAGAUUGGGACUCAGACACAGCCCCGAAUCCUACGGGAUGGAGGAGUGGGGAAUAUUGCACAAUGGGGGCAGGCAUGAUGGAGCGAGGCUGCGUGAAGGAAGAAGUGUCUAGGUAUGUGAACUUCGAUCAGCAGAGAGGAUAGUGACGGUACCUGACUAAGAAGCACCGGCUAACUACGUG